This 274-nucleotide ribosomal RNA is filed under the name uncultured bacterium. RNAcentral's name for it is "partial 16S ribosomal RNA". It matches the Rfam family "Archaeal small subunit ribosomal RNA", at positions 473 to 747 of the family's 1478-position model. The record is from RNAcentral.
AAACCAGCACCUCAAGUGGUCAGGAGGAUUAUUGGGCCUAAAGCAUCCGUAGCCUGCUCUGUAAGUUUCCGGUUAAAUCCAUUAGCUCAACUGAUGGGCCGCCGGAAAAACUGCAAAGCUAGGGAGUGGGAGAGGUAGACGGUACUCGGUAGGAAGGGGUAAAAUCCUUUGAUCUAUUGAUGACCACCAGUGGCGAAGGCGGUCUACCAGAACACGUUCGACGGUGAGGGAUGAAAGCUGGGGGAGCAAACCGGAUUAGAAACCCCGGUAGUCC